This 498-nucleotide ribosomal RNA is filed under the name uncultured bacterium. RNAcentral describes it as "partial 16S ribosomal RNA". It matches the Rfam family "Bacterial small subunit ribosomal RNA", at positions 30 to 523 of the family's 1533-position model. The record is from RNAcentral.
AUUGAACGCUGGCGGAAUGCUUUACACAUGCAAGUCGAACGGUAGAGGGGGCAACCCCUCGAGAGUGGCGAACGGGUGAGUAAUAUAUCGGAACGUGCCCAGUCGUGGGGGAUAACGUAGCGAAAGUUACGCUAAUACCGCAUACGAUCUAAGGAUGAAAGCGGGGGAAUCGAAAGAGCCUCGCGCGAUUGGAACGGCCGAUAUCAGAUUAGGAAGUUGGUGGGGUAAAGGCUCACCAAGCCAACGAUCUGUAGCUGGUCUGAGAGGACGACCAGCCACACUGGAACUGAGACACGGUCCAGACUCCUACGGGAGGCAGCAGUGGGGAAUUUUGGACAAUGGACGCAAGUCUGAUCCAGCCAUUCCGCGUGCAGGAUGAAGGCCCUCGGGUUGUAAACUGCUUUUGUACGGAACGAAAAGGUUUCUAUUAAUACUAGGAGCUCAUGACGGUACCGUAAGAAUAAGCACCGGCUAACUACGUGCCAGCCGCCGCGGUAA